RNAcentral lists this ribosomal RNA (339 nucleotides) under uncultured Polaribacter sp. Its description in RNAcentral is "bacterial SSU rRNA". It matches the Rfam family "Bacterial small subunit ribosomal RNA", at positions 130 to 467 of the family's 1533-position model. The record is from RNAcentral. Lineage: Bacteria; Pseudomonadati; Bacteroidota; Flavobacteriia; Flavobacteriales; Flavobacteriaceae.
CUUUUACAGAGGAAUAGCCUUUAGAAAUGAAGAUUAAUGCCUCAUGGUAUUGUAGACUGGCAUCAGUUUAUAAUUAAAGAUUUAUCGGUAAAAGAUGGCUAUGCGUCCUAUUAGUUAGUUGGUAAGGUAACGGCUUACCAAGACAGCGAUAGGUAGGGGUCCUGAGAGGGAGAUCCCCCACACUGGUACUGAGACACGGACCAGACUCCUACGGGAGGCAGCAGUGAGGAAUAUUGGACAAUGGAGGAGACUCUGAUCCAGCCAUGCCGCGUGUAGGAAGAAUGCCCUAUGGGUUGUAAACUACUUUUAUACAGGAAUAAACACUGGUAUGUAUACCAG